Molecule: long non-coding RNA, 672 nt
Filed under: Vulpes vulpes (red fox)
Lineage: Eukaryota; Metazoa; Chordata; Mammalia; Carnivora; Canidae
Description: lncRNA (ENSVVUG00000028456.1)
Source: RNAcentral
AUGAGGGGCCUCCGCUCCCCAUGCAUUCGUGCAAGCCUGCGUGCACCCAAGGGUCAAGGGGGGUCACCCCCGCAGUGGGGUUCACUCUCCCCGAGGUCUCCCCAGAGACAAAGGCCCCAGUCCCUCCCGNCCCGCCCCGCCCCCCCUUACCAGGGUUUUGGCUACGUUCCCCCUCUGGGUGAUGUUUUUGCUGUGCUUCUCGUUGGCCAUCCGGAUCCGCUGCUUGGCCACCAUGGCUGGGCGCUAGCCCCCGGCACGAGCCCCCGCGACCGCGACCCGGCGGCGGGCGACAGCGACAGCGACAGGGACAGGGCGGCCGCGGGCGCUGCAGGUGGCAGAUUUUAUUUAUUUAUUCAUGAGACAGAGAGAGGGAGAGGCAGGCUCCAUGCAGGGAGCCCGACGUGGGACUCCAUCCCUGGACUCCAGGAUCACACCAUGGGGCCAAAAGCAAGUGCUAAACUACUGAGCCACCCAGGGAUCCCCCCUGAAACCCGUUCUUAACUGAGAAGCCUGCCUUCCCACAGGCUCAGGUGGCUCUUACAGUUGGCCGAACAGAGGUUCGACUGAGCAUUGGAACAUCUGGGUCCUACUCCCAGCUAUCCCGGCUGUAGGAUCGUAACAGACCACUUAGUUCUAGGCCUCAUUUGUUAGAUUUGUAAAACAAGAAUAAUA